Molecule: ribosomal RNA, 379 nt
Filed under: uncultured eukaryote
Lineage: Eukaryota
Description: partial 18S ribosomal RNA
Rfam family: Eukaryotic small subunit ribosomal RNA
Source: RNAcentral
CAAUAGCGUAUAUUUAAGUUGUUGCAGUUAAAAAGCUCGUAGUUGGAUUUCGGAUGGGAUUUGCCGGUCCGACGUUACGAUGUGCACUGGCCAGUCCUAUCUUGUUGUCGGGGACUAGCUCCUUGGAUUCACUUCCUGGGACUAGGAGCUGACGAGGUUACUUUGAGUAAAUUAGAGUGUUCAAAGCAAGCCUACGCUCUGAAUACAUUAGCAUGGAAUAACACGAUAGGACUCUGGCUUAUCUUGUUGGUCUGUGAGACCAGAGUAAUGAUUAAGAGGGACAGUCGGGGACAUUCGUAUUUCAUUGUCAGAGGUGAAAUUCUUGGAUUUAUGAAAGACGAACUUCUGCGAAAGCAUUUGUCAAGGAUGUUUUCAUUAA